GUAGGGAAUAUUGGGCAAUGGUCGGAAGACUGACCCAGCCAUGCCGCGUGCAGGAAGACGGCCCUCUGGGUUGUAAACUGCUUUUAUCUGGGAAGAAAAAGGCCAUGCGUGGCAAAUUGCCGGUACCAGAUGAAUAAGCACCGGCUAACUCCGUGCCAGCAGCCGCGGUAAUACGGAGGGUGCGAGCGGUGUCCGGAUUUAUUGGGUUUAAAGGGUGCGUAGGCGGCUGAUUAAGUCAGCGGUGAAAGACUUCGGCUUAACCGGAGCAGUGCCGUUGAUACUGGUUGGCUUGAGUGUCGGAGGGGUACAUGGAAUUGAUGGUGUAGCGGUGAAAUGCAUAGAUACCAUCAGGAACACCGAUAGCGAAGGCAUUGUACUGGCCGACAACUGACGCUGAUGCACGAAAGUGUGGGGAUCGAACAGGAUUAGAUACCCCAGUAGUCC
Molecule: ribosomal RNA, 444 nt
Filed under: uncultured bacterium
Lineage: Bacteria
Description: partial 16S ribosomal RNA
Rfam family: Bacterial small subunit ribosomal RNA
Source: RNAcentral